Long non-coding RNA from Triticum dicoccoides, 481 nucleotides. RefSeq lists it as uncharacterized. The transcript is spliced from 3 exons. The record is from RefSeq and is a predicted model, not a curated record. NCBI's taxonomy places the organism in Eukaryota, Viridiplantae, Streptophyta, Magnoliopsida, Poales, Poaceae.
CAGUUUCCAUGCCGAUCUGUGAUGUUUGGCGUCCAUAUAGUCUCCUGGAUCCGGCUGUUCCAUCCUCACCCCUUUCGCGGCUUCAACUCCUCCCAGAUUGGUGAGCUGUGAAGAGGGGACGGCCAUGGCGGGCGUGAAGCCCCAAUGGUAGCAGCGUCCGGUGGUGGGCGACUUGCCCAAUGGAGCAGAGGAGAGGUGAUGACGAUUAAGUGGGCCUUUGGAGGCUGCUCCUGAGUGAGGCGCUCCUCCACAACCCAUGUCGCCUCCUCGCUGCAGAUUACGCCUUCCUGGACCUCUACUGCUUUCAAAUUAGCUCAAUACAAGAUGGAGUUAUUUAGAUCUGGUAGCACCAGUGGAUUGCAUGUAUAAAUUAUAUGAUGCAUUAUCAUUUUGAGGAAGACGUACAAUAUUGACAUGAUGUUGCAAGGCGGCAUGUUUUGUUUCCGAUCAGCAUGCUAUUACGUGAUAUUAUUGUCCUUUA